GUAGGGAAUAUUGCGCAAUGCCCGAAAGGGUGACGCAGCGACGCCGCGUGAGGGAUGAAGGCCUUCGGGUUGUAAACCUCUGUCGCCCGGGAAGAACACCGGCGGUGUGAACAAUGCCGUCGGUUGACGUUACCGGGAAAGGAAGCACCGGCUAACUCUGUGCCAGCAGCUGCGGUAAUACAGAGGGUGCAAACGUUGCUCGGAUUCACUGGGCGUAAAGGGCACGUAGGCGGGAGAGUAAAUCAGUUGUGGAAUGCCAUCGCUUACCGGUGGAAUUGCAACUGAAAAUGCUCUUCUUGAGCGCAGGAGGGGUGAGGGGAACUCUAGGUGGAGCGGUGAAAUGCGUAGAUAUCUAGAGGAACGCCGGAGGCGAAAGCGCCUCACUGGCCUGCUGCUGACGCUGAGGUGCGAAAGCCAGGGGAGCAAACGGGAUUAGAAACCCGGGUAGUCC
This 451-nucleotide ribosomal RNA is filed under the name uncultured bacterium. Its description in RNAcentral is "bacterial SSU rRNA". It matches the Rfam family "Bacterial small subunit ribosomal RNA", at positions 354 to 796 of the family's 1533-position model. The record is from RNAcentral.